GAUUUUGUUAUUUUUUGUUGUUUAGUGCUAUAUAGGUUUAGUUAUCUUGGUUAGUUAGGUUAGUUAGUUAGUUAGCUUAAUAGAAAGAAUAGGAAGAAGAAGAGGAGGAGGAGGAGGCGAAGAGAGGAAGAGGAGGAGGAGGAGGAGGAGGAGGAGGAGAAGAAGAAGAAGAAGAAGAAGAAGAAGAAGAAGAAGAAGAAGAAGAAGAGGAGAAGAAGA
This 219-nucleotide long non-coding RNA is filed under the name Hordeum vulgare. RNAcentral describes it as "long non-coding RNA (HVUL_LNC016959)". The record is from RNAcentral. Lineage: Eukaryota; Viridiplantae; Streptophyta; Magnoliopsida; Poales; Poaceae.